GUGCUCCUUUCUGCAGCACACAUACUAAAACCAAAAUGACACAGAGAAGAAUCAAAUCACCUUUGCAUGACAACGACACACAAAUUUGUGAACCUUUCUAUAUUCUU
Phyllostomus discolor (pale spear-nosed bat) is the source of this 107-nucleotide small nuclear RNA. NCBI's taxonomy places the organism in Eukaryota, Metazoa, Chordata, Mammalia, Chiroptera, Phyllostomidae. The record is from RefSeq and is a predicted model, not a curated record.